CUCUACAGCCAUGUCACCCUGCAGCCCAAGACCGGUUACUCACUGAAGCUAAGCAGGGCUGAGCCUGGUCAGUACCUGGAUGGGAGACCACUAGGGAACACUAGGUUGCUGUUGGAA
Molecule: non-coding RNA, 117 nt
Organism: Danio rerio (zebrafish)
Lineage: Eukaryota; Metazoa; Chordata; Actinopteri; Cypriniformes; Danionidae
Source: Rfam